Molecule: transfer RNA, 75 nt
Filed under: Danionella cerebrum
Lineage: Eukaryota; Metazoa; Chordata; Actinopteri; Cypriniformes; Danionidae
Description: tRNA-Val
Rfam family: tRNA (bases 6-63)
About the family: Transfer RNA (tRNA) molecules are approximately 80 nucleotides in length. Their secondary structure includes four short double-helical elements and three loops (D, anti-codon, and T loops).
Source: RNAcentral
UCCUGUGGCUCAGUUGUUAGAGCGUUGCGCUAACAAGGCAAAGGUCAUGGGUUCAAAUCCCAGGGAUUGCAGGAA